RNAcentral lists this transfer RNA (69 nucleotides) under Ictidomys tridecemlineatus (thirteen-lined ground squirrel). RNAcentral describes it as "Spermophilus tridecemlineatus (thirteen-lined ground squirrel) tRNA". It matches the Rfam family "tRNA". From Rfam's summary of the family: Transfer RNA (tRNA) molecules are approximately 80 nucleotides in length. Their secondary structure includes four short double-helical elements and three loops (D, anti-codon, and T loops). Further hydrogen bonds mediate the characteristic L-shaped molecular structure. tRNAs have two regions of fundamental functional importance: the anti-codon, which is responsible for specific mRNA codon recognition, and the 3' end, to which the tRNAs corresponding amino acid is attached (by aminoacyl-tRNA synthetases). tRNAs cope with the degeneracy of the genetic code in two manners: having more than one tRNA (with a specific anti-codon) for a particular amino acid; and 'wobble' base-pairing, i.e. permitting non-standard base-pairing at the 3rd anti-codon position. RNAcentral also lists the same sequence under 1 other name. Lineage: Eukaryota; Metazoa; Chordata; Mammalia; Rodentia; Sciuridae. The record is from Rfam by way of RNAcentral.
GGGGUUGUAGCUCAGUUGUAGAGCGCUUGCCUCACAUGUGUGAGGCCCUGGGUUCAAUCCCCAGCACCA